UUUGCGCGGGGUGAGACUGACGGAUAAUGAGGGGAGAAAAAAAAUAAUAAUAAUAAUCAAGAGGGAUUUAUUCGAAUGAUUUUACAUAUAUUUACAUAACUGUCAAAAUCUUUCUGGGUUUCCUGUUUGCUGCUGCUACGAGGCCAAAGUAAAGAGUCCUCGCUGAUUGCAGAGGAAAUCCUACAUGAUUGUGCUCAGACGAAGAAGCCGCCUGUUGGAUACUGCCGGAGGGCAAAGGCACUGCCGGGCUUCUGGCAGACGCCUGUCACCGCGCUGUUCGGAGCGCCGCCGAUUGAUUAUGAUGUUGGUGUUGGUUUGAGUUUGUCUCCCGGCGUCACCGACUCCGCGAAGCUGUCAGCGCCGGCGAGGAGCUCCAGCCUUCAGCGCCAGCAGAGCGAGUUCCCAGCAGGAAGAGGACGGGGAAGGCAGGAAAUAAUAGAGACAAUUGUUUUUUCAUGAGCCGAGACGGAGAGAAGACACAAUCAAACGGGACGGAGACGAAUUGGGUAACGAAGGACGGAGACUGGGAGAUGUUGCUCAGUUAUGUAAACGUUUUAUUAUUAUUAUUUAACAGCUUGUUAGUAAAAACCGAGGCGUCUUGUGAAGCUGGUUUGUCUACAGUCGAACCAGGUAAAAACCUUGUCAAGGUUCAUUUUGCUUAAUUAAGAAAUGCAAAUAUGUUGAUGCCAGUGGAAGUUUUUUGACAUGAGCAAGACAAUGUGCCACGCAGGGCCCAGUCCUACCAGAGGGCAGCAUAUAAAAAAAACAAACUAAAUCAUAACUCAAAAGUUAUUUUGUGUUUAUUAUUUGCUGCUCCACUCAGUUAGGAGUGGGGGUGUUCCUGUGUUGCGCCAGAUGUGAUAAAAAUAUUGAUUUUGAACUUCAGCUGGAUAAAUGGCGUUGAAGUUGGUGUCUGAUUUGAAGCACCCAACACAGCGCUAAGCUAAACUGCUAUGUCACUGGCUAUGUUUCCAUUACUGAUGUGCACAAAACGUUGUGGAUAUUCUGCUAAUGUAAAAAAAAACAAAAAAACAAUCUCCCUAUAGCAGUGUUUCCGAUAAAUAACAAAAUGCAAUUAAAA
Molecule: long non-coding RNA, 1081 nt
Organism: Xiphophorus hellerii (green swordtail)
Lineage: Eukaryota; Metazoa; Chordata; Actinopteri; Cyprinodontiformes; Poeciliidae
Exons: 2
Source: RefSeq, a predicted model, not a curated record